CAUGAAGUCGGAAUUGCUAGUAAUGGCAGGUCAGCAUACUGCCGUGAAUACGUUCCCGGGCCUUGUACACACCGCCCGUCACACCAUGAGAGUUGGAGAUACCCGAAGCCUAUGAGCUAACUUUUAGAGGCAGUAGUCGAAGGUAGAAUCAAUGAUUGGGGUGAAGUCGUAACAAGGUAAC
RNAcentral lists this ribosomal RNA (181 nucleotides) under uncultured bacterium. RNAcentral's name for it is "partial 16S ribosomal RNA". It matches the Rfam family "Bacterial small subunit ribosomal RNA", at positions 1319 to 1500 of the family's 1533-position model. The record is from RNAcentral.